AUGCCUUAAAUUUGUGAGUUAGAAAAAUAAUAAUUUGGGGUGAUGCCUGAAUCCUCACUGCUUAUGUGAGAUGAAUUUUUGAGCGGGUAAAGGUUGCCCC
Molecule: small nuclear RNA, 100 nt
Organism: Nycticebus coucang (slow loris)
Lineage: Eukaryota; Metazoa; Chordata; Mammalia; Primates; Lorisidae
Product: U12 minor spliceosomal RNA
Exons: 1
Source: RefSeq, a predicted model, not a curated record